RNAcentral lists this ribosomal RNA (253 nucleotides) under uncultured bacterium. RNAcentral describes it as "partial 16S ribosomal RNA". It matches the Rfam family "Bacterial small subunit ribosomal RNA", at positions 524 to 776 of the family's 1533-position model. The record is from RNAcentral.
UACGUAGGUGACCAGCGUUGUCCGGAUUUACUGGGCGUAAAGAGCGCGCAGGCGGUCGUUCAAGUCGAGUGUGAAAGCCCCCGGCUCAACUGGGGAGGGUCACUCGACACUGAUCGACUUGAAGGCAGGAGAGGGAAGCGGAAUUCCCGGUGUAGUGGUGAAAUGCGUAGAUAUCGGGAGGAACACCAGUGGCGAAGGCGGCUUCCUGGCCUGUUCUUGACGCUGAGGCGCGAAAGCUAGGGGAGCAAACGGG